AAGUCCUUUGGGAAGAAGAAACUCUCAAAACCCAACCCCACCCAACCCAUCCCGGUGGACCUCAGCAGGCCCCCGCGCGCCCGCGAGGGCGCCCGUCACUCACACGGGUGAGGUUGGCCAACUGAGCUGGAUUUCGCCCGGGUUGCCUGGCAUAUGCUCACGAAACCAACUUCAGACAUGAGAUGGCCCCCGCCGGGACUGGAAUCCCGAGCGAGGGCCUGACCAAGAGGAAGCAGCAGAUCUUCCCG
This 248-nucleotide non-coding RNA is filed under the name Streptomyces sp. CB02488. RNAcentral describes it as "Streptomyces sRNA 4677". It matches the Rfam family "Streptomyces sRNA 4677", at positions 31 to 246 of the family's 246-position model. Rfam says of the family: Located in the intergenic region between anti-sigma factor SCO4677 gene and a putative regulatory protein gene SCO4676. scr4677 expression requires the SCO4677 activity and scr4677 sRNA itself seem to affect the levels of the SCO4676-associated transcripts. Lineage: Bacteria; Bacillati; Actinomycetota; Actinomycetes; Kitasatosporales; Streptomycetaceae. The record is from Rfam by way of RNAcentral.